RNAcentral lists this ribosomal RNA (750 nucleotides) under uncultured bacterium. RNAcentral describes it as "bacterial SSU rRNA". It matches the Rfam family "Bacterial small subunit ribosomal RNA", at positions 755 to 1502 of the family's 1533-position model. The record is from RNAcentral.
AAAGCGGUGGGGGAGCAAACAGGAAUUAGAUACCCUGGUAGUCCCACGCCGUAAACGAUGUCUACUUGGAGGUUGUGGCCUUGAGCCGUGGCUUUCGGAGCUAACGCGUUAAGUAGACCGCCUGGGGAGUACGGUCGCAAGAUUAAAACUCAAAUGAAUUGACGGGGGCCCGCACAAGCGGUGGAGCAUGUGGUUUAAUUCGAUGCAACGCGAAGAACCUUACCUACUCUUGACAUCUACAGAAGCCAGCGGAGACGCAGGUGUGCCUUCGGGAACUGUAAGACAGGUGCUGCAUGGCUGUCGUCAGCUCGUGUUGUGAAAUGUUGGGUUAAGUCCCGCAACGAGCGCAACCCUUAUCCUUGUUUGCCAGCACUUCGGGUGGGAACUCCAGGGAGACUGCCGGUGAUAAACCGGAGGAAGGUGGGGACGACGUCAAGUCAUCAUGGCCCUUACGAGUAGGGCUACACACGUGCUACAAUGGCGCAUACAGAGGGCGGCCAACUUGCGAAAGUGAGCGAAUCCCAAAAAGUGCGUCGUAGUCCGGAUUGGAGUCUGCAACUCGACUCCAUGAAGUCGGAAUCGCUAGUAAUCGUGGAUCAGAAUGCCACGGUGAAUACGUUCCCGGGCCUUGUACACACCGCCCGUCACACCAUGGGAGUGGGCUGCAAAAGAAGUGGGUAGUUUAACCUUCGGGAGGACGCUCACCACUUUGUGGUUCAUGACUGGGGUGAAGUCGUAACAAGGUAACCG